GACGAACCGUGCGAACGUUAUUCGGAAUCACUGGGCUUAAAGCGUGUGUAGGCGGACUUGUAAGUACCUUGUGAAAUCCCACGGCUCAACCGUGGAACUGCUUGGUAUACUGCUUGUCUUGAGCCACUUAGGGGCUACCGGAACAAAUGGUGGAGCGGUGAAAUGCGUAGAUAUCGGGAGGAACACCUAUGGCGAAGGCAGCUCGCUGGGACGCUACUGACGCUGAGACGCGAAAGCGUGGGGAGCAAACAGG
This 253-nucleotide ribosomal RNA is filed under the name uncultured bacterium. RNAcentral describes it as "partial 16S ribosomal RNA". It matches the Rfam family "Bacterial small subunit ribosomal RNA", at positions 524 to 776 of the family's 1533-position model. The record is from RNAcentral.